Molecule: long non-coding RNA, 941 nt
Organism: Vidua chalybeata
Lineage: Eukaryota; Metazoa; Chordata; Aves; Passeriformes; Viduidae
Exons: 2
Source: RefSeq, a predicted model, not a curated record
CGGCCGCCGCCGCCGCAGCAGCUCCGCGGCGCCCGGUGCCGUCCCCUCGCCGCGCAGCCCGGGCACGGCUCCGCCACAGCCAGCACAGCCCGGCUGCUUUUAGGAGCAGCGCUGCUGAGGCCCGGGGGGGGGGAAAUGAAAGGAAAAGGAGGUUGCAGCAGCGGGAGCCGCCGCACCCCGGCGGGAGGAGCGGGAUCGGGGGAGCUUGGCAGGCGGGAGGGCGGCCUCUGCCACGGCGCUGCCCGGAGCUUCUCCCCGGCGGUCUCCACCUGCCCGCGGGGGGAGCGGAGCCGGCUCCGGUCCCGGUCCCGGCCCCUUCGCCCUCGCUCGGCGCCCCGCGGGCAGCGGCUCCGCGCUCGGGGCCGCGCCGGCAGCGGCGCGGGCUCGUCUCUCAUCCUGAGGACAAGGUCAAGGAUGAAGGGUCAAUGUCAAGUUGUCUUAACGGUGGAAGGCGACCCUCCACGGCAGCACUCCUUGCUUCCCGCGUUUCUGGUGUCCUCGAUUGAUUCGAAAGUGCCAUUUUGAAGGGGAACCGCGCCCGGGCACCAAGAAGACGCGAGGACUUCGCUUUUCCUUCCCCGGGCGAAGGAGUGAGGACGGUACAGGACGGGGAUGUCACCGCCACUCUGCCUAACAGUAUUUAGCGUCUUAAAGUGCUUUAAUGGCUGGAUUGCUUUAGGUUUCAGGGACCCUCGGAGGACUGCAUUCUGCCAAGCGAACCCUCCGAGAGGGUUUCUCUUGGGAUCACGGACCCUCCUGAAGGAACAGCUGAGCUUUCCCUGCGCCCCUCUCCGCACGCAGCGUUCGUCCGCGGCGGCGCCGGGCUCCCCCCGCAGCUCGCCCCGGGGCCGGCGGCGGCACGGAGCUCGCAGAGUCCGCGACACCCCCCUGUAACCCUCGCGGAUGGACGAGAGAAACAAUAAAGAACGCUGCUUCCUAAA